This 71-nucleotide transfer RNA is filed under the name Loxodonta africana (African savanna elephant). It matches the Rfam family "tRNA". From Rfam's summary of the family: Transfer RNA (tRNA) molecules are approximately 80 nucleotides in length. Their secondary structure includes four short double-helical elements and three loops (D, anti-codon, and T loops). The record is from Rfam by way of RNAcentral. Lineage: Eukaryota; Metazoa; Chordata; Mammalia; Proboscidea; Elephantidae.
GCAGUGUUGGUUCAGUGGUAGAAUUCUUGCCCUCCAUGCAGGAGACCUGGGUUCGAUUCCCAGCCAGUGCA